GGGGAUGAAUGGUUUCGACGGGGCAGGCUGGUCGCGGGUUGCAAGCCGAGGCGCUCUCACCUCGUAAAUCCAGAGCAAAACACUAACUGCCAACACUGGCAAAACGUUCAACUUCGCUCCGCGUUUCGCAGCCGCGCCCGCAAUGGCGCUCGCUGCCUGAUUCGUAGCGAUAUGAACGUCUCCUCCCACUAAAGGGGGACGGUCUGUACCACGUGGCGCCUCCUGGCGCGGUAUGGGCCGUCAAACACAGGAUGGCUGCAACCGGUCCAACGCCGAUAGUACCGGAACAAGACCAUCGGCUAGCCGGCCCAGGGAACGCCGUCGCUGGCGGUCCGGUCGGUGAAACACCAAAGCAGCGACUAAGCUUGUAGAGACUUUCGGCCGAGUGUUUCGGACGCGGGUUCGAUACCCGCCAUCUCCACCU
Molecule: transfer-messenger RNA, 424 nt
Filed under: Anaerolineae
Lineage: Bacteria; Bacillati; Chloroflexota
Also listed under: 1 other name
Description: SSC4 sp013693795 Standard tmRNA
Rfam family: transfer-messenger RNA
About the family: Bacterial tmRNA, also known as 10Sa RNA or SsrA, is named for its dual tRNA and mRNA-like properties. Its role is to liberate the mRNA from a stalled ribosome.
Source: RNAcentral